GCGUAGCAAUACGUCAGCGGCAGACGGGUGAGUAACGCGUGGGAACGUACCUUUUGGUUCGGAACAACACAGGGAAACUUGUGCUAAUACCGGAUAAGCCCUUACGGGGAAAGAUUUAUCGCCGAAAGAUCGGCCCGCGUCUGAUUAGCUAGUUGGUGAGGUAACGGCUCACCAAGGCGACGAUCAGUAGCUGGUCUGAGAGGAUGAUCAGCCACAUUGGGACUGAGACACGGCCCAAACUCCUACGGGAGGCAGCAGUGGGGAAUAUUGGACAAUGGGCGCAAGCCUGAUCCAGCCAUGCCGCGUGAGUGAUGAAGGCCCUAGGGUUGUAAAGCUCUUUUGUGCGGGAAGAUAAUGACGGUACCGCAAGAAUAAGCCCCGGCUAACUUCGUGCCAGCAGCCGCGGUAAUACGAAGGGGGCUAGCGUUGCUCGGAAUCACUGGGCGUAAAGGGUGCGUAGGCGGGUCUUUAAGUCAGGGGUGAAAUCCUGGAGCUCAACUCCAGAACUGCCUUUGAUACUGAGGAUCUUGAGUUCGGGAGAGGUGAGUGGAACUGCGAGUGUAGAGGUGAAAUUCGUAGAUAUUCGCAAGAACACCAGUGGCGAAGGCGGCUCACUGGCCCGAUACUGAC
This 630-nucleotide ribosomal RNA is filed under the name Bradyrhizobium sp. Its description in RNAcentral is "bacterial SSU rRNA". It matches the Rfam family "Bacterial small subunit ribosomal RNA", at positions 74 to 744 of the family's 1533-position model. The record is from RNAcentral. Lineage: Bacteria; Pseudomonadati; Pseudomonadota; Alphaproteobacteria; Hyphomicrobiales; Nitrobacteraceae.